GACCGCGUAGCUCAAUUGGAAGAGCAUUGGGCUUAAUGGGCUAGUACUCCAAAGGUCGUAGGUUCGAUUCCCACCGUGGCCA
Paramuricea clavata is the source of this 82-nucleotide non-coding RNA. NCBI's taxonomy places the organism in Eukaryota, Metazoa, Cnidaria, Anthozoa, Malacalcyonacea, Plexauridae. The record is from the annotation of a GenBank genome assembly.